GAGUCGCGGUCUGGUGUGGAUGAAGCAAUCAAACCUAGAGUGAAAACAGCCUGAAACACAGAGACGCCUGCAGCCCAACUUUGAUUAUUAGAAGUGUGCAAAUGCAUUCUUUGUUGUACCAAAAACAGCUCUGUGUUCCAUGGAAAUAAAAACAGCAUUUGGAUUUGGAACAACAUGAAACAGCACACAAGUUCUUGGCAGAAGCCCCACCCUGUUUGGCAGAGGGGUGUGUUCACCCAUUGUCCCCUCCUCCAUUGUCACCUUCGGUAUUCUCAUCCGUGUUUUACAUCCUCGUCCUCCACAGAGCAGCUUGGCGUAAGCUGACCUGAAGUCUCUAUUGAGUGUGGCGUAAAGUACUGGGUUUAGGGCAGAGUUUGCAUAUCCUAGCCAAAGCACCACAGACUGCACAGUUUGCGGCGGGUUAUCUUCGUUGCUUAUCCCCAUUAUCAUAAAAAAAGUGAAAUACGGGAACCAGCACACCACGAAAGCACCAAGCACCACUGCAAGCGUCACCAUGGCUUUGUGUUCACGCAGGGUGAGCAUCAUCACUCCUGGUGAAGACGAAGAACACCG
This is a long non-coding RNA of Cyprinus carpio carpio, 573 nucleotides long. Lineage: Eukaryota; Metazoa; Chordata; Actinopteri; Cypriniformes; Cyprinidae. The record is from Ensembl.